Molecule: long non-coding RNA, 1306 nt
Organism: Antechinus flavipes (yellow-footed antechinus)
Lineage: Eukaryota; Metazoa; Chordata; Mammalia; Dasyuromorphia; Dasyuridae
Exons: 3
Source: RefSeq, a predicted model, not a curated record
CUAACGGUCCGGGGUACACACCCUGUAGACACACCAGGGCAGGCAUCGAGCAUGCACCAAAUCGAGAUCACCCUCACUGUCUCAGGAGUCGGACUCCUGGAUACACAAGCUAAACACAUACUUGUUGUUGGGGCAUGUUGGCAGGGGAGAUGAGAAGGGUAUAAGAACAGGACAGCAGAGGGAGAGGGAAGAAGCAGGAGGAGAGACAAGAUGAUGUAACCAAGCAAUAAAGCUUCUUUAACUGCAUAAAGAACUGCUUUGUUGUAUCCAGAGACAUCCAUCUCCGAAGCUCGUAGAGGUGACGAUAAUUGGCCACAGGUCAAGGAUUCACAGGUUUUCCCCAUACUAGGACGGCUCCGACUCAAUGGUCCCGAUGAAGCCAGACAGUGGGUGCCAACCCACUCCUUUUGACUCCUGGGACCUCCAGAACAAGAAGAAGAGCAAAAGGAGGCGGAAAAGGAGGACCAGGACACACCAGUCGACAGAAAAGAGAGAGCAGAAGAGAAGACUGAAAUGGCUGUGUCCUGGACUUGCUCUAAUCAAAUCCAAGAACUGGCAAAGUUUGUAGCUGACAUUAAUGUAUUAUCAAAAAAAAUUUCAGCCUCCCUAAUGAUGUUUCUCAUGAGCUUAUUGAUUGGAUAUAUCAACAUACACUGUCAAUACCCUCAUGGUUGUCAAAUAUUUUACUGUUAAUUGCCUUUUUUAUCGUAUUGCUGUUGCUUUUACCUUGUAUUUUCUGAUGCUUUUUCUCUCUUACAACAGUCCCUUGCAGGACUGGUAGCCGAGUGGCACCCCCUUCAUAGAAUACAAAAAGGGGGAGAUGCUAGGGAACCUGGCAACAAGAAUGCUAGGGAACAGAAUAACAAGAGUCUGCAUUAAUCCUGAGACCCUUCACCAUGUACCUUGCACAUAAUGCCCCAUUUGUAUAGGCAACAAGUCUGUGCAAAGACGAGUCUUGUGCUACCUGACCCUUGUGGUCUUUGGCUGGUUGGAUCUUGGUCAGCUCAUUCUUGGGAAAGGAUAUGGAGGCCUCGGGUGUGAGUUCUGCCUCACUGGCUAAAGGUCUGAGGUACACACCCUGUAGACACACCAGGACAGGCAUCGAGCAUGCACCAAAUCGAGAUCGCCCCCACCAUCUCAGGAGUCGGGCUCCUGGAUACACAAGCUAAACACAUACUUGUUGUUGGGACACGUUGGCAGGGGAGAUGAGAAGGGUAUAAGAACAGGACAGCAGAGGGAGAGGGAGGAAGCAGGAGGAGAGACAAGAUGAUGUAACCAAGCAAUAAAGCUUCUUUAACUGCAUAAA